UGGGGAAUAUUGCACAAUGGGCGCAAGCCUGAUGCAGCCAUGCCGCGUGUAUGAAGAAGGCCUUCUGGUUGUAAAGUACUUUCAGCGGGGAGGAAGGCGAUAAGGUUAAUAACCUUGUCGAUUGACGUUACCCGCAGAAGAAGCACCGGCUAACUCCGUGCCAGCAGCCGCGGUAAUACGGAGGGUGCAAGCGUUAAUCGGAAUUACUGGGCGUAAAGCGCACGCAGGCGGUCUGUCAAGUCGGAUGUGAAAUCCCCGGGCUCAACCUGGGAACUGCAUUCGAAACUGGCAGGCUAGAGUCUUGUAGAGGGGGGUAGAAUUCCAGGUGUAGCGGUGAAAUGCGUAGAGAUCUGGAGGAAUACCGGUGGCGAAGGCGGCCCCCUGGACAAAGACUGACGCUCAGGUGCGAAAGCGUGGGGAGCAAACA
This 427-nucleotide ribosomal RNA is filed under the name uncultured bacterium. Its description in RNAcentral is "partial 16S ribosomal RNA". It matches the Rfam family "Bacterial small subunit ribosomal RNA", at positions 355 to 774 of the family's 1533-position model. The record is from RNAcentral.